GCCAGCGUGGUGUAGUGGUUCAUCGUUGGACUAAGACUCUGAAGAGCAGAGUUCAAUUCCCAGCUCUGCCA
Molecule: non-coding RNA, 71 nt
Organism: Phrynosoma platyrhinos (Desert horned lizard)
Lineage: Eukaryota; Metazoa; Chordata; Lepidosauria; Squamata; Phrynosomatidae
Source: the annotation of a GenBank genome assembly